UGGGGAAUAUUGCGCAAUGGGGGCAACCCUGACGCAGCAAUGCCGCGUGAGUGAAGAAGGCCCUCGGGUCGUAAAGCUCUUUUAUGGGGGAAGAUGAUGACGGUACCCCAAGAAUAAGCACCGGCUAACUACGUGCCAGCAGCCGCGGUAACACGUAGGGUGCGAGCGUUGUUCGGAAUUACUGGGCGUAAAGGGCGUGCAGGCGGACAGGUCAGCCGGAGGUGAAAGCCCGGGGCUCAACCCCGGAGGGUCUUUCGGAACUGCCUGUCUAGAGAGAGUCAGGGGCCAGCGGAAUUCCUGGUGUAGAGGUGAAAUUCGUAGAGAUCAGGAGGAACACCGGCGGCGAAAGCGGCUGGCUGGGACUACUCUGACGCUGAGGCGCGAAAGCGUGGGGAGCAAACAGG
RNAcentral lists this ribosomal RNA (404 nucleotides) under uncultured bacterium. RNAcentral describes it as "bacterial SSU rRNA". It matches the Rfam family "Bacterial small subunit ribosomal RNA", at positions 355 to 776 of the family's 1533-position model. The record is from RNAcentral.